This 200-nucleotide unclassified non-coding RNA is filed under the name Inocybe sp. RNAcentral's name for it is "partial internal transcribed spacer 2". Lineage: Eukaryota; Fungi; Basidiomycota; Agaricomycetes; Agaricales; Inocybaceae. The record is from RNAcentral.
UUAAGUUCAGCGGGUAGUCCUACCUGAUUUGAGGUCAAGAUUGUCAAUACAAGUAAGGUUUAGAAAGCAGCAUUCCAGCAGAUGUCUAGGAUGUAGAUAAUUAUCACACCUGUAGACAGUUCCACAAAGGUACCGCUAAUCAAUUUCAGGGGAGCAGACUAUACAAAAAGCCCACAACAAUUUUCCCCCCAAAUCCAAGC